GGCAGUCGGAAAGAGUUAAUCAAUGUGUAGAGAAUUAUUUGAGGUGUAUGGUUCAUUUGAAGCCUACUACGUGGAGUUCUUGGUUACCUAUGGCAGAGUGGUGGUAAAAUUCAUCACAUCACAGUGCUAUUCAAAUGACUCCAUUUGAAGCACUGUAUGGGUAUGCUCCACCUCUAUUUCAUGAAAAUUGUACUGUUGAUUCAUCAAUUGGGGCUAUAGGGAGAUUGUUACAAGAGAGACAGCAUCUUAAUAAUCUCUUAAAGGAAAAUUUACAAGUGGCCCAACAUAGGAUGAAGCAGCAAGCUGACAAGAGGAGAACUGAGAGGGAAUUUGUUGUUGGGGAUUGGGUGUAUUUGAAACUUCAGCCUUAUAGGCAGACUUCAGUAUCUGUCAGACAAACCCUUAAACUUUCUGCUAAGUUUUAUGGGCCAUUCAGAAUUCUUGCUAAGAUUGGGAAAGUUGCUUAUCAAUUAGACUUGCCUCCAACAGCUACUAUUCACCCUGUUUUCCAUGUAUCCAUGCUUAAGAAGAAGGUUGGGGAUGGUGUAAUGGAUGCUACUGAUUUACCUAUUAUGCAAGAUGACCAUAUUAAAGUUGUACCUGAGCAGGUGUUGCAGACUAGAAUAAUUGAAAGAGGAGACUAGAGAGUGGAACAAGGACUUAUUAAAUGGCUUAAUCUGUCAACAGAGGAUGCCACUUCGGAAGAUAGAAGUUUUAUUGAGGGGCAAUUUCCUAAAGUCUCACUUUCUUGGGGACAAGAAAGUACUAAAGGAGGGGGUAUUAUUACGUACUAUAGAAAGAAAUAUA
RNAcentral lists this unclassified non-coding RNA (807 nucleotides) under Hevea brasiliensis (rubber tree). Lineage: Eukaryota; Viridiplantae; Streptophyta; Magnoliopsida; Malpighiales; Euphorbiaceae. The record is from RNAcentral.